UCCGGCGGUGCAGGAUGAGCCCGCGGCCUAUCAGCUAGUUGGUGAGGUAAUGGCUCACCAAGGCGACGACGGGUAGCCGGCCUGAGAGGGCGACCGGCCACACUGGGACUGAGACACGGCCCAGACUCCUACGGGAGGCAGCAGUGGGGAAUAUUGCACAAUGGGCGAAAGCCUGAUGCAGCGACGCCGCGUGAGGGAUGACGGCCUUCGGGUUGUAAACCUCUUUCAGCAGGGAAGAAGCGAAAGUGACGGUACCUGCAGAAGAAGCGCCGGCUAACUACGUGCCAGCAGCCGCGGUAAUACGUAGGGCGCAAGCGUUGUCCGGAAUUAUUGGGCGUAAAGAGCUCGUAGGCGGCUUGUCACGUCGGUUGUGAAAGCCCGGGGCUUAACCCCGGGUCUGCAGUCGAUACGGGCAGGCUAGAGUUCGGUAGGGGAGAUCGGAAUUCCUGGUGUAGCGGUGAAAUGCGCAGAUAUCAGGAGGAACACCGGUGGCGAAGGCGGAUCUCUGGGCCGAUACUGACGCUGAGGAGCGAAAGCGUGGGGAGCGAACAGGAUUAGAUACCCUGGUAGUCCACGCCGUAACGGUGGGCACUAGGUGUGGGCAACAUUCCACGUUGUCCGUGCC
This 625-nucleotide ribosomal RNA is filed under the name Streptomyces mutabilis. RNAcentral describes it as "bacterial SSU rRNA". It matches the Rfam family "Bacterial small subunit ribosomal RNA", at positions 211 to 847 of the family's 1533-position model. Lineage: Bacteria; Bacillati; Actinomycetota; Actinomycetes; Kitasatosporales; Streptomycetaceae. The record is from RNAcentral.